RNAcentral lists this ribosomal RNA (509 nucleotides) under uncultured bacterium. Its description in RNAcentral is "bacterial SSU rRNA". It matches the Rfam family "Bacterial small subunit ribosomal RNA", at positions 8 to 526 of the family's 1533-position model. The record is from RNAcentral.
AGGGUUUGAUCAUGGCUCAGGACGAACGCUGGCGGUGCGCCUUAUGCAUGCAAGUCGAGCGAAGCUUUUCAGUAGUUUACUACAGAAAAUGACUGAGCGGCGAACGGGUGAGUAACGCGUGAGCAAUCUACCUUAGUUACAGGGAUAGCCCGAGGAAACUCGGAUUAAUACCUGAUAUUCUUUAUUUCUCGCAUGAGAAUAAAAGGAAAGGUCAGCCGAACUAAGAUGAGCUCGCGUUCUAUCAGCUAGUUGGUGAGGUAAAAGCUUACCAAGGCUACGACGGAUAGCUGGUCUGAGAGGACGAUCAGCCACACUGGGACUGAGACACGGCCCAGACUCCUACGGGAGGCUGCAGCAGGGAAUAUUGUGCAAUGAACGAAAGUUUGACACAGCGACACCGCGUGUGGGAUGACGGAUCUAGGUUUGUAAACCACUUUCAGGAGGGAAGAAAAUGACGGUACCUCCACAAGAAGCCCCGGCCAACUACGUGCCAGCCGCCGCGGUAAUUC